GCCUCUGGCUACCCGCCAUCCCCUGUGCCAGGAGGGAACCUUGUGUUAGCCAGGAGCAUGUGAGCCAACAAGAAUGGGAAGGAGAGGGAAUGGACUCCACACUGCACCCAGCUGUCAUGUAAGUGUGGAAGUUUGCCUCUUCCAGCAGAUGAUCUAAGCAGCUUGUGGACACAUAUUUUGAUAGAUUAUGAAGUUCGAUGCAUUUUAUUAGAAAUUAAAACGACAAUAUGAAUAAUCUCAACAGGAGUGAAAUCUCAACACCUCUAAGAGAUCAGCCAAGGUUUUCUGCUUCAAGCCUUUAAAUGUCAUGAAGAAGCAGCAAGAUGGCAUCGCUGCCUCCAACAAGUCCUCCUCCCAAAUCCUCAGAGAGAUGAAAAAGUGCUGCCUGUUGCCCAGGAGCAGACAGAGCAAGGAGACUUUUCAUACUAAAAAUUGAUGCAAAACAGCGAGCCACAGUGUCACAAAACAGAUUUGACAGCUCAAGGUUUUAAUUACUGUUUACAGCUAGAGAGCGGACAAAGCAAGCUCCAGGUCUCAACUGCUUUUUGUAUCCUGGGAAAUGAGAGCAAUUCUUUCUAUCAUAUUCAGAAAGAAAAUGAAAAGGAGGAAGAAGCCCUCUCCUGCCCUACGUCCCCCAUGGCUCAGCACUGCCCACCCAAGGCUGGAAGAAGUUGGUCAUACGGAGUUCCCUUGGCGCCUUCUGCCCUCUUAAGGUCUUCAAUGCCUGCUAAGAUACUCAGCAAUGGAAAUGAUGCUGAUGCUCCUCUCCUGCCAAAAGAUAAUCCCCUCCACGUUCACAUUUAGAGUACACUGAGGCAGCUCUGGUGCUCCUCUAAGCACACCAACAUUUUUUUCAUGGCACAGAAUAAAUGCCUUCUCAAAACCACAGGUUUGCCAGCAGAACUACGGUAACGCCUGCUUAGAAAAUAGUUGAGAAUGUAAUUAUAAGUAUAUACAUUCAAAAGACCCACAGGUGACCAGAUCGAGUCUGAUAAAAGAUGCCUUUUAUUGUCUUGACCAUAUAUUUAUAUAUAAAAGUGUAGUCCUGACCAAUGCAGGUCAGUGCCACAUAAACAUUCCACAUGCCAACGUACGCACUGAAGUCAUUGUUCACAGCAAUAACCUCUCCUUUUAAUAAACCAUCUCCUUUACGCAGAAAUGCCUAAAGGUUUUCUAAUGUAUAUCAGUCUUUUGAACAUCACAUAAUCAAUUUAACACGAGAAAGGGAAAAGAAAUGUACCUGCACGGAUCCCCGCAUAUUCAGAUAAACCUUGCUGCUAUGAGGUUAGCAUAAAACCACACCAAAACCAGAUGAGGACAAACAGUUGCGGUGAAAGCCUGAUUUCUGACCAUGUAUUUACUGCAUUCUGAAUUCUAUUCACCUUUUGUGUGUGUGUGUGUGUGUGUGUGUGUGUGUGUGUGAAAUUGUUUCAGUUAUACAGAUUAUCUUGGAGUUUUCACAAUGAAGCUAAUGGGUUUCUAAGACUUUCAUAGCAUGCGUGAGCUGUAAGACAAGGAAUAGUAUAACAUUCCUUCACUGGCAGUGAUUUAAUAAUCUCAACAGUAAAAUAAAGGCCAAAAAAAAAAAAAAGAAAAAAAAAGAAAGAGAUCAAGCUGGUGUUCUUUCCUAUCUGAUCUCUUAGAAAGUAGGUCUUCAAAGAACAACCACUGUGCUGCAGAAAUUGACACUGGCAAUUAAAUGAUAUUCCCUCUCUGAAUGGAAGUACACGGUGCUAUCACCAGUGCUGUUUGUCUAAUGACAUGGAAAAUUAAGGUUUUUAACCACUUACUAUCAUUUAGUGGAGGCCUUUUCAAAAUCAAGGUGGCAUGGAUCUAGCUACAGAAAUGGGAAAGAAUGCUGAAGAAUGUCGGGGCAGACAAGACCAACACUAUUUCUACUGUG
Molecule: long non-coding RNA, 1903 nt
Filed under: Gallus gallus (chicken)
Lineage: Eukaryota; Metazoa; Chordata; Aves; Galliformes; Phasianidae
Description: lncRNA (ENSGALG00010008769.1)
Source: RNAcentral